Molecule: non-coding RNA, 118 nt
Filed under: uncultured Fragilariaceae
Lineage: Eukaryota; Bacillariophyta; Fragilariophyceae; Fragilariales; Fragilariaceae
Source: RNAcentral
CAAAAGUAUAAAACAAAGAGAAAGAAAGAGAGGGCCACAAAAAAUAAUGAAGAAGACAGAAAGAGACAGGAUAUCUCGUAUUCUUAUUCUUACUCUUAUUCUUGCUCUUGCUCUUGCU